RNAcentral lists this ribosomal RNA (484 nucleotides) under uncultured bacterium. RNAcentral's name for it is "partial 16S ribosomal RNA". It matches the Rfam family "Bacterial small subunit ribosomal RNA", at positions 30 to 507 of the family's 1533-position model. The record is from RNAcentral.
AUUGAACGCUGGCGGCAGGCCUAACACAUGCAAGUCGAGCGGAUGAAGGGAGCUUGCUCCUGGAUUCAGCGGCGGACGGGUGAGUAAUGCCUAGGAAUCUGCCUGGUAGUGGGGGAUAACGUCGGGAAACGGGCGCUAAUACCGCAUACGACCUGAGGGAGAAAGUGGGGGAUCUUCGGACCUCACGCUAUCAGAUGAGCCUAGGUCGGAUUAGCUAGUUGGUGGGGUAAAGGCCUACCAAGGCGACGAUCCGUAACUGGUCUGAGAGGAUGAUCAGUCACACUGGAACUGAGACACGGUCCAGACUCCUACGGGAGGCAGCAGUGGGGAAUAUUGGACAAUGGGCGAAAGCCUGAUCCAGCCAUGCCGCGUGUGUGAAGAAGGUCUUCGGAUUGUAAAGCACUUUAAGUUGGGAGGGAGGGCAGUAAGUUAAUACCUUGCUGUUUUGACGUUACCAACAGAAUAAGCACCGGCUAACUUCGUG